UACGUAGGGGGCAAGCGUUGUCCGGAAUCAUUGGGCGUAAAGAGCGUGUAGGCGGCCCGAUAAGUCCGCCGUGAAAGUCCAGGGCUCAACCCUGGAAUGCCGGUGGAAACUGUCGGGCUCGAGUCCGGAAGAGGCGAGUGGAAUUCCUGGUGUAGCGGUGAGAUGCGCAGAUAUCAGGAGGAACACCAAUGGCGAAGGCAGCUCGCUGGGACGGUACUGACGCUGAGACGCGAAAGCGUGGGGAGCAAACAGG
RNAcentral lists this ribosomal RNA (253 nucleotides) under uncultured bacterium. Its description in RNAcentral is "partial 16S ribosomal RNA". It matches the Rfam family "Bacterial small subunit ribosomal RNA", at positions 524 to 776 of the family's 1533-position model. The record is from RNAcentral.